UGGAAAUUGCAGGCUCUUCCACAGAUGGGACAGAUGGUCACUGACUGGUUCACUGCACACUGGGUAAAGAAAUUUCUUCUGAUCCUGGUUCUAAAUGGCAUACGCUACGUCCUGAGGCUGUGACCCUUGGUUCAGGAGUCUCCAGUCAUCAGAAGCAUUGUCCCUGCAUUUGAGCCGUUAUGGGAGGAAAUCAAUGGUCAGACAUACAAACUGAAGGAAAGAAUCAAGUUCCUGAUGGAAAAUUACAAUGUAAUGGACAUUUUUCACUCU
Molecule: long non-coding RNA, 270 nt
Organism: Pristis pectinata (smalltooth sawfish)
Lineage: Eukaryota; Metazoa; Chordata; Chondrichthyes; Rhinopristiformes; Pristidae
Exons: 4
Source: RefSeq, a predicted model, not a curated record